AAGAGAUAGUCGGGGAGCUUUUCGCUGAGAUCGCUGUGCGAGACCCGUUGAACCUGAACAGAUAAUACUGGCGUAGGGAACUAUGAAUAUUGCAGA
RNAcentral lists this non-coding RNA (96 nucleotides) under Veronia pacifica. Its description in RNAcentral is "Enterovibrio pacificus TPP sequence". It matches the Rfam family "TPP riboswitch aptamer (THI element)". Rfam says of the family: Vitamin B(1) in its active form thiamin pyrophosphate (TPP) is an essential coenzyme that is synthesised by coupling of pyrimidine and thiazole moieties in bacteria. The record is from Rfam by way of RNAcentral. Lineage: Bacteria; Pseudomonadati; Pseudomonadota; Gammaproteobacteria; Vibrionales; Vibrionaceae.